This 301-nucleotide ribosomal RNA is filed under the name uncultured bacterium. RNAcentral describes it as "partial 16S ribosomal RNA". It matches the Rfam family "Bacterial small subunit ribosomal RNA", at positions 509 to 808 of the family's 1533-position model. The record is from RNAcentral.
CAGUAGCCGCGGGAAUACGUAGGUCCCGAGCGUUGUCCGGAUUUAUUGGGCGUAAAGGGAGCGCAGGCGGUUUAGUAAGUCUGAAGUUAAAGGCAUUGGCUCAACCAAUGUAUGCUUUGGAAACUGUUAGACUUGAGUGCAGAAGGGAAGAGUGGAAUUCCAUGUGUAGCGGUGAAAUGCGUAGAUAUCGGAAGGAACACCUGUGGCGAAAGCGGCUCACUGGACCAUUUCUGACGCUGAUGCACGAAAGCUAGGGGAGCAAACAGGAUUAGAUACCCCCGUAGUCCCUGUCUCUUAUACA